CUAGCUACAGGCUUAACACAUGCAAGUCGAGGGGCAUCAGGAAGAAAGCUUGCUUUCUUUGCUGACGACCGGCGCACGGGUGAGUAACACGUAUCCAACCUGCCCUUUACUCGGGGAUAGCCUUUCGAAAGAAAGAUUAAUACCCGAUAGCAUAAUGAUUCCGCAUGGUUUCAUUAUUAAAGGAUUCCGGUAAAGGAUGGGGAUGCGUUCCAUUAGGUUGUUGGUGAGGUAACGGCCCACCAAGCCUUCGAUGGAUAGGGGUUCUGAGAGGAAGGUCCCCCACAUUGGAACUGAGACACGGUCCAAACUCCUACGGGAGGCAGCAGUGAGGAAUAUUGGUCAAUGGGCGCUAGCCUGAACCAGCCAAGUAGCGUGAAGGAUGAAGGCUCUAUGGGUCGUAAACUUCUUUUAUAUAAGAAUAAAGUGCAGUAUGUAUACUGUUUUGUAUGUAUUAUAUGAAUAAGGAUCGGCUAACUCCGUGCCAGCAGCCGCGGUAAUACGGAGGAUCCGAGCGUUAUCCGGAUUUAUUGGGUUUAAAGGGAGCGUAGGUGGACUGGUAAGUCAGUUGUGAAAGUUUGCGGCUCAACCGUAAAAUUGCAGUUGAUACUGUCAGUCUUGAGUACAGUAGAGGUGGGCGGAAUUCGUGGUGUAGCGGUGAAAUGCUUAGAUAUCACGAAGAACUCCGAUUGCGAAGGCAGCUCACUGGACUGCAACUGACACUGAUGCUCGAAAGUGUGGGUAUCAAACAGGAUUAGAUACCCUGGUAGUCCACACAGUAAACGAUGAAUACUCGCUGUUUGCGAUAUACAGUAAGCGGCCAAGCGAAAGCAUUAAGUAUUCCACCUGGGGAGUACGCCGGCAACGGUGAAACUCAAAGGAAUUGACGGGGGCCCGCACAAGCGGAGGAACAUGUGGUUUAAUUCGAUGAUACGCGAGGAACCUUACCCGGGCUUAAAUUGCAGUGGAAUGAUGUGGAAACAUGUCAGUGAGCAAUCACCGCUGUGAAGGUGCUGCAUGGUUGUCGUCAGCUCGUGCCGUGAGGUGUCGGCUUAAGUGCCAUAACGAGCGCAACCCUUAUCUUUAGUUACUAACAGGUUAUGCUGAGGACUCUAGAGAGACUGCCGUCGUAAGAUGUGAGGAAGGUGGGGAUGACGUCAAAUCAGCACGGCCCUUACGUCCGGGGCUACACACGUGUUACAAUGGGGGGUACAGAAGGCAGCUAGCGGGUGACCGUAUGCUAAUCCCAAAAUCCUCUCUCAGUUCGGAUCGAAGUCUGCAACCCGACUUCGUGAAGCUGGAUUCGCUAGUAAUCGCGCAUCAGCCACGGCGCGGUGAAUACGUUCCCGGGCCUUGUACACACCGCCCGUCAAGCCAUGGGAGCCGGGGGUACCUGAAGUACGUAACCGCAAGGAUCGUCCUAGGGUAAAACUGGUGACUGG
Molecule: ribosomal RNA, 1439 nt
Filed under: uncultured organism
Description: SSU rRNA
Rfam family: Bacterial small subunit ribosomal RNA
Source: RNAcentral